GCGGGUAUAGUUUAGUGGUAGAACGAAAGAUUUCCAAUCUCUCGGCGGGGGUUCGAUUCCCCCUACCCGCUCCA
This 74-nucleotide transfer RNA is filed under the name Candidatus Shapirobacteria bacterium. Its description in RNAcentral is "tRNA-Gly". It matches the Rfam family "tRNA". Rfam says of the family: Transfer RNA (tRNA) molecules are approximately 80 nucleotides in length. Their secondary structure includes four short double-helical elements and three loops (D, anti-codon, and T loops). Lineage: Bacteria; Candidatus Shapironibacteriota. The record is from RNAcentral.